GAUGAACGCUGGCGGCGUGCCUAACACAUGCAAGUCGAACGAAGCUUGACGGAUGAUUUCUUCGGAAUGAAACCAGAUAUGACUUAGUGGCGGACGGGUGAGUAACACGUGAGCAACCUGCCUUUCAGAGGGGGAUAACGGCUGGAAACGGUCGCUAAUACCGCAUGAUGUGUUCGGAUGGCAUCAUCUGAACAUCAAAGAUUUAUCGCUGAAAGAUGGGCUCGCGUCUGAUUAGAUAGUUGGUGGGGUAACGGCCUACCAAGUCUACGAUCAGUAGCCGGACUGAGAGGUUGAACGGCCACAUUGGGACUGGGAUACGGCCCAGACUCCUACGGGAGGCAGCAGUGGGGAAUAUUGCACAAUGGGGGAAGCCCUGAUGCAGCAACGCCGCGUGAAGGAUGACGGUUUUCGGAUUGUAAACUUCUUUUCUUAGUGACGAAGACAGUGACGGUAGCUAAGGAAUAAGCAUCGGCUAACUACGUG
This 483-nucleotide ribosomal RNA is filed under the name uncultured bacterium. RNAcentral's name for it is "partial 16S ribosomal RNA". It matches the Rfam family "Bacterial small subunit ribosomal RNA", at positions 28 to 507 of the family's 1533-position model. The record is from RNAcentral.